GACGAACGCUGGCGGCGUGCUUAACACAUGCAAGUCGAACGGAAAGAGAUGAAAGAGCUUGCUCUUUUAUUAAUUUCAGUGGCAAACGGGUGAGUAACACGUAAACAACCUGCCUUAAGGAUGGGGAUAACAGACGGAAACGACUGCUAAUACCGAAUACGUUCUAAGCAUCGCAUGGUGCAUAGAAGAAAGGGUGGCCUCUACAAGAAAGCUAUCGCCUUAAGAGGGGUUUGCGACUGAUUAGGUAGUUGGUGAGGUAACGGCUCACCAAGCCGACGAUCAGUAGCCGGUCUGAGAGGAUGAACGGCCACACUGGAACUGAGACACGGUCCAGACUCCUACGGGAGGCAGCAGUGGGGAAUCUUCCGCAAUGGACGAAAGUCUGACGGAGCAACGCCGCGUGAACGAAGAAGGUCUUCGGAUUGUAAAGUUCUGUGAUUCGGGACGAAAGGGUUUGUGGUGAAUAAUCAUAGACAUUGACGGACCGAAAAAGCAAGCCACGCA
RNAcentral lists this ribosomal RNA (504 nucleotides) under Dialister pneumosintes. RNAcentral's name for it is "bacterial SSU rRNA". It matches the Rfam family "Bacterial small subunit ribosomal RNA", at positions 28 to 497 of the family's 1533-position model. The record is from RNAcentral. Lineage: Bacteria; Bacillati; Bacillota; Negativicutes; Veillonellales; Veillonellaceae.